This 218-nucleotide long non-coding RNA is filed under the name Capsella rubella. RNAcentral's name for it is "long non-coding RNA (CRUB_LNC003990)". The record is from RNAcentral. Lineage: Eukaryota; Viridiplantae; Streptophyta; Magnoliopsida; Brassicales; Brassicaceae.
AUAAUUCUACGCCGGGGAAUAUUUUAUAAUUCUAUUAAUUUAUUUCUAUUUUAUUAUGUAUUUAUUUAAUUUUUUUUUAUUUUGUUUAUAAACCAUUAUCGAUAACUUUUUUUGAAAGACUUAUUAUAUCUUAAAACAACAUAAACGUUUAUAAGAAAGUUUCUUGGGUAAAUAAUUGAUUGUUCAAACAUAAUCUUGUCAUUUUAAAGGGUUGUUCU